AGUGAACGCUGGCGGUAGGCCUAACACAUGCAAGUCGAACGGCAGCACAGUAAGAGCUUGCUCUUACGGGUGGCGAGUGGCGGACGGGUGAGGAAUACAUCGGAAUCUACUUUUUCGUGGGGGAUAACGUAGUGAAACUUACGCUAAUACCGCAUACGACCUACGGGUGAAAGCAGGGGAUCUUCGGACCUUGCGCGAUUGAAUGAGCCGAUGUCGGAUUAGCUAGUUGGCGGGGUAAAGGCCCACCAAGGCGACGAUCCGUAGCUGGUCUGAGAGGAUGAUCAGCCACACUGGAACUGAGACACGGUCCAGACUCCUACGGGAGGCAGCAGUGGGGAAUAUUGGACAAUGGGCGCAAGCCUGAUCCAGCCAUACCGCGUGGGUGAAGAAGGCCUUCGGGUUGGAAAGCCCUUUUGUUGGGAAAGAAAAGCAGCAGGUUAAUACCCCGCUGUUCUGACGGUACCCAAAGAAUAAGCACCGGCUAACUUCGUG
RNAcentral lists this ribosomal RNA (492 nucleotides) under uncultured bacterium. RNAcentral's name for it is "partial 16S ribosomal RNA". It matches the Rfam family "Bacterial small subunit ribosomal RNA", at positions 29 to 507 of the family's 1533-position model. The record is from RNAcentral.